Mesocricetus auratus (golden hamster) is the source of this 4775-nucleotide RNA transcript. It is a transcript of the gene named WAS/WASL interacting protein family member 3, with no coding region annotated. The transcript has 10 exons. Lineage: Eukaryota; Metazoa; Chordata; Mammalia; Rodentia; Cricetidae. The record is from RefSeq and is a predicted model, not a curated record.
CAGCAAGCAGGUGGGGGCGGGCGGCUCCGCCUCCGCGUCCCGGCAGCGCCUGAGCGAGCCCGGAGCACAGAGCCCGGCUCAGCCAGGCGCGCAGCUACAACGCCAGGCACGGUCCACAGAGUCCACAGACCGAGAGUGGACAGCGGGGACGGCGGGGACGGCGGGGACGGCGGCGCCAGUGCGAGUCCAGUGGCCCGGUUAGGGCCAGCUGCAGACCAGAAACUACUCUCUUGGAACCAUUCAUAAGCAAGAGACACCAACACUGUGACAUAUGCCGGUGCCACCACCACCACCACCACCACCGCCACCUCCUCUGCCUCCACCUCCUCCACCUCUGGGGGCUCCUCCCCCUCCACCCCCACCAGGGCCCCCGAUUAGUACAGACGCACCCAGCUUAAGGAAGACAGAUCUGAAAGGUCGGAGUGCACUGUUGGCUGAUAUCCAGCAAGGAAAACGCCUGCGAAAAGUUACCCAGAUCAAUGACCGCAGUGCCCCACAAAUCGAGGGUUCAAAGGGAGCCAGCAAAGAUGGAGGGAGUGCCAGCCUCAGCAGUGCCCGAGGAGGAAACACCCCCCCUGCUCUGGGGGAUCUCUUUGCUGGUGGCUUUCCUGUGUUAAGACCAGCAGGCCAGAGGGAUAUGGCAGGUGGCAAGGCGGGGCAGGGACCUGGCUCCCGAGCGCCUUCUCCCCGGCUCCCCACCAAAGCCAUCAGCGGUCCCCUUCCUGCCCCCGCAUCUCCCAGGCUGGGCAAUGCCUCAGAGGUGCACAGCUCUUCCAGGCCGGUCCCUCCUCGGCCUAGUGUGCCUGCUCCACCACCUCCUACUCCACCCCCGCCCCCACCUCCACCUCCACCCUUGCCCCCGACCUCCUCCAGCAAAGCCCCAUUGGUGCCCCCGCCUGUCCCUCCAACCAAGGGAAAUCCCCCUGUGGCGCCACCCCCUGUGCCCUGCGCACCUCCUCCCCCUCCGCCCCUGAUGCCGCCCCCGCCCCCGCCCCCGCUGCCCCCAGCUGCAGUGCUCAGUGACAAAGCAGUGAGGCCCCAACUAGCCCCACUACACCUGCCGCCCAUCCCGCCCCCACUCCCUCUCCUCCCACCCUGUGGGUACCCAGGGCUGAACACAGAACACAGCAGCCCUGCACAGGAGGUUCAGGAGCCUCCAGCCCCUCCGCCACCGCCGCCGCCGCCGCCGCCACCGCUCCCAAUCCAUGCCUCUUGCUCUCCCAGGGCCGUUAUGCCUCCGCCCCCUUUGCCAGGCUCCAACAACAGCGGCAACGAGACCCCUCCUCCACUGCCCCCCAAGUCCCCAAGCUUCCAGGCGCAGAAGGCUUUGCCCACUCCUCCGGGUGCUCCCGGCCCUCAGGCCAUUCUACAGAAGAAGCGACGAGGCCCAGGAACCAGUGGGGGGAAGCUAAACCCACCUCCAGCUCCACCUGCAAGAUCGCCCACCACAGAGCUUUCCAGCAAAAGCCAGCAGCCUGGGGGCCAGCUGCGGAAUGGAAGCCAGCACGUGAUUGAUGAAUUCGAGUCUAAAUUCACGUUCCACUCCAUGGAAGACUUUCCCCCUCCAGAUGAAUUCAAACCAUGUCAGAAGAUAUACCCCAGCAAGGUCCCCAGAAGCCGCACACCUGGUUCCUGGCUCCAAGCUGAAGCAGCUGGGCAGGGCUCGGAUGACAUCAAAAGCAGAAAUUCUCAGAUCACAGAGGUUCAGGUACUGAUGUCAGCAUCCUGGGAUCCAUGCUCCAAUCACUCCCUCACUUUUCCAGAUCACAGAGGUUCAGGUACUGAUGUCAGCAUCCUGGGAUCCAUGCUCCAAUCACUCCCUCACUUUUCCAGAUCACAGAGGUUCAGGUACUGAUGUCAGCAUCCUGGGAUCCAUGCUCCAAUCACUCCCUCACUUUUCCAGAUCACAGAGGUUCAGGUACUGAUGUCAGCAUCCUGGGAUCCAUGCUCCAAUCACUCCCUCACUUUUCCAGAUCACAGAGGUUCAGCUAUCUCUGAAGGCACUCCGGUGAGAAGAUGGAUGAAGCCAAGGCCCUGGGGUUCUUUAUUGGAUGGACACCAGGAUAGCUCAUCAAGACUCUACCAUGCUCCAGCUCUAUUCAUUUGACAGGCAGGCUCUGAACAGAGCGUUAGUUACUGUAAAUAAUGAUUUGCACGAACUUUAAAACACCACUUUAGUCAACUUCUAUUUGAGUAAUAUUUUAAUAUUUUUAAAUAUGCAUCUUGGCCUUUGUCUGUUUGUACAGAUGGAGCCCUAUCCCACCCUGUAGUGUCCACUGUGACUAUAAAAUAUGCUUGCAGGCUGGUCCUUCCUAGAUUCCGAAACAUUUUUUUCAUUAGUUUUCAAGUAGUCUCAGAGUCAUAAAAAUCCACAACAGCUUCUAAUUGGCAUGAUUCUCAUCACACCAACUGCAAAAUCAAACCAGAUAAUGCCUUAUAAGCCAUGCAGCUCGGAGGAAGCGGCGUGUCCCCAGGUCCCAGCAGUGCCAGACAGCCUCCAGUGAGCGAGAUGCCACGUCUCACUUCCUUUUAUCAGUACAGGGAUGCCAUUUUGCUGCCUAAUGUAAAUAUAUCCCAAUGCAAAGACUGGAGUGGGCUUGGCCCCUCACAUGCCUUCCGCAGGGCCCCUUUUGUAACUGGAUUCUUUGACAAGCAGCCAGUGCUUUUACUGUUUACAGCAUCCCUAGUGCCCAGUCUCCAUCACGUUUCCUUCUGCCCCUCCAAGCUUUCACUCCAUCCUGGUAGUCAGGAUAAAGUUAGCUUUAUGAGAUUUUGAUAUCUUUCCACCCCUGCAGAUUAUAAAUGUAUAUAGCUCAUGAUUAUGAUAAGCUUAUUUUUACCUCAGAGGUCUCUCUCCCCCAAGCCCCACCCUGAGUGUAGGAUUUACAUGGAAAAUACAGCAUACAUUGAAAGAACAAAUAACCCUGGGGCGAUAGCUCUGUUGAUAAGAUGCUCGCCUCACAAUCCUAAGGACCUGAGUUCAGUUGCCAGAGCCCACAUGAAGCUGGACGGCAGCAGUACACACUUGUUAUCCCAUGGGAAAACAGAGUCAACCAGAUCCCUGGGCCUCACUGACCCGUCAGUCUAACCAGGGAGUCCCAGGUCCCCGAGAGCCACACUGUUGCAAAAUACAAGAUGGUAUCUCCUGAGGCCACAACACCCAAAGAUGACUUCUGGUCUCUACAGGCUCACACAUACAUGUGCAUGCACACUCCACACAGGAACACACACACCCACAUACAAACACAUACGGAAGAGCAAAGCAUUCCAUCGGUGGGAAUCCCAGAACACCUCUCUGCCCGAGGGCAUUUCCCUCUGAGCUGAAAAGCACAGAUGUCUGAUGGCUCUCCUGCCGUGUGGCGUGCACCUGGGGUGGCAGGCAGAUAUACACAGCAAGUUCAGCUGCCCUGGACAGAGGGCCAAGCCAGGCUGGGGCUGCUCUCAACACCUUUGAGCCCCAAGGGAGGGAAGUAUGCUUUUGCAUUUGUCAGGCCCCAAAUGCUCCCAUCCGAAUGCAAGGCUAUAGCAGAGAAGGGGGGAAAUAGAGGGAAACAGGAUUUCUGCACUGUGCUCGGAAUAGCUGUGGACAGGAGGAGGAGGAGGAGGAGGGCAAGGAAUGGUGUGCAACGGAGCAUCCCACUCGGGCACUCACACGGACAGGAACAUUAGCCCAGGUCAGGCCAUCCAGAGAUGAUGGACAGGGAGAGUGUUCAGCCAUGUGUCUGCAGGCACCUGACUGUGUUUCGGAGCAAAUGUCCUACACUGGUGUUGUGCUUUCUCAUUAGAGAUAGUAGAAACUGAGCCAGGGUCAAGUCCCAUCUCCGGAGCAUGACUCAAGCCACUGUAACUACAUCAAGGGACAUGAAGCUCCCAUGCUGCUGAUUUGUUGUAUUGGUUCUGGAAGUUUGCAGGAAGGUCAGGCUCCACUCCCUUCUCCUCCCAGCCUUGCAAAGUAAUAAUCCUGGAGUUUUAGUAAUUACAAGAGGGCCACUAGCAGUCUGCUGCUUGCCCAGUGACUUGCUCACGGGCUCAUGUUCUGCACUGCUGGGACAGAAAUUAAAACUACUGAAGAGUUGCUGGGGAGAUGUCUCAGUCAGUAGACUGCCUGCGGGCCAAGCAUGAGAACCUGUGUUCAUAUCCCCAGGACCUACAUAAAAGCCAGGCAUAGGGGUGCAUGUCUGUAACCCAGGUCCUGGCAGUUAAGUCAAGACUGCUGACCCCAGGAAGGUCAGUGACCAGCCAACCCCACCAAAUUAUUGAGCUGCAGGUUUAGUAAGGAAUGCUAAUAAGAAGAGAGAGAGAGAGAGAGAGAGAGGACACCUGUUGUUGGCCUUUGACCUCCAAAUACUUGUGCACAGAUGUGCCUUUGUUCACACGCACACACACACACACACACACACACACGCCUGCAUGCGCACACACACAGGUACAUACAACACAAAUAAUUUUUAAACUAUUUAAAGACAGAGGGAAAGAACAAGCAGAAACCAAAAACAGCAAGCAGGGAGCAAUCUCAGGAAUCUGGCCUAGCAGCUCUCCUUCAGACCUAUCACUGAAGCUACCAGCCUCCAAGUUCAAGCGGGCACGUCCAGUUCCCACGGGUAGAGUACAGGUUGGGCCCUUGACCAUGAACUCACGUGGAGGCGUCCCUGCCAUCCUCGCCCACCCUUACAUCACAGACUGUGACCUCCCAGCGUCUCACCUGUAUUUUAUAUUUACCCGUGUCUCCUGCUGCAGAUUCACUCCUUUGUACCCAAUAAACUUUAAUAAGUGGC